RNAcentral lists this transfer RNA (64 nucleotides) under Thylacodes aureus. RNAcentral's name for it is "tRNA-Leu". It matches the Rfam family "tRNA". From Rfam's summary of the family: Transfer RNA (tRNA) molecules are approximately 80 nucleotides in length. Their secondary structure includes four short double-helical elements and three loops (D, anti-codon, and T loops). Lineage: Eukaryota; Metazoa; Mollusca; Gastropoda; Littorinimorpha; Vermetidae. The record is from RNAcentral.
GUUGAAGUGGCAGAGAAGUGCGCUAGAUUUAGGAUCUAGAUAUAAAGAAUGUCUUUCUUCAACU